Molecule: small nuclear RNA, 62 nt
Organism: Callithrix jacchus (white-tufted-ear marmoset)
Lineage: Eukaryota; Metazoa; Chordata; Mammalia; Primates; Cebidae
Gene: U7
Rfam family: U7 small nuclear RNA
About the family: Animal histone pre-mRNAs are spliced by a different mechanism than nuclear pre-mRNAs and self-splicing introns. This processing involves the U7 snRNP, which contains only one RNA species: U7.
Source: Ensembl
UAGUGUUACAGCUCUUUUAGAAUUUGUCUAGCAUGCUUUCCUGGUUUUGCCAGGAAGCCCCU